UGUUCCUGUGGUCUAAAUGGUGAGGACAUCGCCUUUUCAAGGCGGGGGAGCGGGUUCAAUUCCCGCCAGGAAUAA
This 75-nucleotide transfer RNA is filed under the name Caulerpa lentillifera. Its description in RNAcentral is "tRNA-Asp". It matches the Rfam family "tRNA". From Rfam's summary of the family: Transfer RNA (tRNA) molecules are approximately 80 nucleotides in length. Their secondary structure includes four short double-helical elements and three loops (D, anti-codon, and T loops). Further hydrogen bonds mediate the characteristic L-shaped molecular structure. tRNAs have two regions of fundamental functional importance: the anti-codon, which is responsible for specific mRNA codon recognition, and the 3' end, to which the tRNAs corresponding amino acid is attached (by aminoacyl-tRNA synthetases). tRNAs cope with the degeneracy of the genetic code in two manners: having more than one tRNA (with a specific anti-codon) for a particular amino acid; and 'wobble' base-pairing, i.e. permitting non-standard base-pairing at the 3rd anti-codon position. Lineage: Eukaryota; Viridiplantae; Chlorophyta; Ulvophyceae; Bryopsidales; Caulerpaceae. The record is from RNAcentral.